GUAGGUGGCGAGCGUUGUCCGGAAUUAUUGGGCGUAAAGCGCGCGCAGGUGGUUCUUUAAGUCUGAUGUGAAAGCCCCCGGCUCAACCGGGGAGGGUCAUUGGAAACUGGGGAACUUGAGUGCAGGAGAGGAAAGUGGAAUUCCACGUGUAGCGGUGAGAUGCGUAGAUAUGCGGAGGAACACCAGUGGCGAGGGCGACUUUCUGGCCUGUAACUGACACUGAGGCGCGAAAGCGUGGGGAGCAAACAGGGAUUAGAUACCCUGGUAGUCCACGCCGUAAACGAUGAGUGCUAAGCGUUGGGGGGGUUUCCCGCCCCUCAGUGCUGCAGCUAACGCAUUAAGCACUCCGCCUGGGGAGUACGGUCGCAAGACUG
This 374-nucleotide ribosomal RNA is filed under the name uncultured organism. RNAcentral describes it as "partial 16S ribosomal RNA". It matches the Rfam family "Bacterial small subunit ribosomal RNA", at positions 527 to 896 of the family's 1533-position model. The record is from RNAcentral.